Molecule: ribosomal RNA, 505 nt
Filed under: uncultured bacterium
Lineage: Bacteria
Description: bacterial SSU rRNA
Rfam family: Bacterial small subunit ribosomal RNA
Source: RNAcentral
AGAGUUUGAUCAUGGCUCAGAUUGAACGCUGGCGGCAAGGCUUUAACACAUGCAAGUCGAACGGUUUUGAGUACUUGUACUUAAGAUAGUGGCGAACGGGUGAGUAAUGCCUAGGAAUCUGCCGAUUAAUGGGGGAUAACGUUCCGAAAGGAACGCUAAUACCGCAUACGCCCUACGGGGGAAAGCAGGGGAUCUUCGGACCUUGCGUUAAUUGAUGAGCCUAGGUCGGAUUAGCUAGUUGGUGAGGUAAAGGCUCACCAAGGCGACGAUCUGUAGCGGGUCUGAGAGGAUGAUCCGCCACACUGGGACUGAGACACGGCCCAGACUCCUACGGGAGGCAGCAGUGGGGAAUAUUGGACAAUGGGCGGAAGCCUGAUCCAGCCAUGCCGCGUGUGUGAAGAAGGCCUUUAGGUUGUAAAGCACUUUAAGCGGGGAGGAGGCUACCUGGGAUAAUACCCUGGAGUAGUGGACGUUACCCGCAGAAUAAGCACCGGCUAACUCUGUG